RNAcentral lists this ribosomal RNA (486 nucleotides) under uncultured Pelotomaculum sp. Its description in RNAcentral is "bacterial SSU rRNA". It matches the Rfam family "Bacterial small subunit ribosomal RNA", at positions 903 to 1382 of the family's 1533-position model. Lineage: Bacteria; Bacillati; Bacillota; Clostridia; Eubacteriales; Desulfotomaculaceae. The record is from RNAcentral.
CUACAAAGGAAGUUGACGGGGCCCGCACAAGCGGUGGAGCAUGUGGUUUAAUUCGACGCAACGCGAAGAACCUUACCAGGGCUUGACAUCCCCUGACCGCGUAUGAAAGUACGUUUUCACCCUCGGGUGACAGGGAGACAGGUGGUGCAUGGUUGUCGUCAGCUCGUGUCGUGAGAUGUUGGGUUAAGUCCCGCAACGAGCGCAACCCCUACGUUUAGUUGCUAACGCGUGAAGGCGAGCACUCUAGACGAACUGCCGUUGACAAAACGGAGGGAGGUGGGGAUGACGUCAAAUCAUCAUGCCCCUUAUGUUCUGGGCUACACACGUGCUGCAAUGGCCGGUACAGACGGACGCAAAGCCGCGAGGUGGAGCAAAUCCUAAAAAGCCGGUCUCAGUUCGGAUUGCAGGCUGCAAUUCGCCUGUAUGAAGUCGGAAUCGCUAGUAAUCGCAGGUCAGCAUACUGCGGUGAAUACGUUCCCGGGCCUU